GAUGAACGCUGGCGGCGUGCCUAAUACAUGCAAGUCGAGCGAACGGACGAGAAUCUUGCUUCUCUGAUGUUAGCGGCGGACGGGUGAGUAACACGUGUAUAACCUACCUAUAAGAGUGGGAUAACUUCGGGAAACCGGAUCUAAUACCGUAUGAGAUUUUGAACCGCAGGGGUCAAAAGUGAGAGACGGUCGUGCUGUCACGUAUAGAUGGUUCCGCGCUGCAUUAGCUGGUUGGUAAGUUAACGGCUUACCAAGGCAACGAUGCAUAGCCGACGUGAGGGGGUGAUAGGCCACACUGGAACUGAGACACGGUCCAGACUCCUACGGGAGGCCGCAGUAGGGAAUGUUACGCAAUGGGGGAAAGCCUGACGGAGUAACGCCGAGUGAGUGAUGAAGGUCUUCCGAUCGUAAAACUCUGUUAUUAGGGAAGAACAUCUGUGUAAGUAACUGUGCACAUCUUGACGGUAACUAAUAAGAAAGCAACGGCUAACUACGUG
Molecule: ribosomal RNA, 497 nt
Filed under: uncultured bacterium
Lineage: Bacteria
Description: partial 16S ribosomal RNA
Rfam family: Bacterial small subunit ribosomal RNA
Source: RNAcentral